AGAGAGAGACAUGCGCGCAUAUCAAUAAGCGGAGGAAAAGAAACUAACAAGGAUUCCCUCAGUAACGGCGAUGUGAAGGCGGGAAGAGCUCAAAUUUGAAAUCUUCAAGGUUUUACCUUGACGAAUUGUAGUUUAAAGAAGUGUUUUUCUGCUGAAGUUUUGGUAAAAGUUCUUUGGAAUAGGACAUCAUAGAGGGUGAGAAUCCCGUAUUUGACCAUUAUUUUCCAGCUUUGUGAUACACUUUCAAAGAGUCGGAUUGUUUGGGAAUGCAGUCCAAAAUGGGUGGUAAAUUUCAUCUAAAGCUAAAUAUUGGCGAGAGACCGAUAGCGAACAAGUACCGUGAGGGAAAGAUGAAAAGAACUUUGAAAAGAGAGUUAAACAGUACGUGAAAUUGUCAAAAGGGAAGCGUUUGACACCAGUGUUGUUUUCUCGAAAAUCAAUUAAAAAUGGCUCGAUUUUGUAUUGUUGAGACCUUAAAAGCCCACUGUACAUUUUUUCGUGUCUUUUUUAAUGCACUUUUCGUUUAACAAGUCAACAUCAGUUUCUUUUGUUGUAAAAGGGUCAUUGGAAGGUGGCUUUCUUUUCGGAGAAAGUGUUUAUAGCCUUUGGCCUCUGCAAUCGGAGAGAUUGAGGUCUGCAGCGUAGACUCUUCGGGGUUAGAUACAUUUGUGCUAAGUUAUAGCUUUUUAUAGACAACUUGUUGACUAUAAUUAGUCUUGUAGCUUACUCGCUUAUGCUAUUUUACCUACGCUUAGGAUGUUGAAGUCAUCGUAUCGCGC
This 779-nucleotide ribosomal RNA is filed under the name uncultured Neocallimastigales. RNAcentral describes it as "partial large subunit ribosomal RNA". It matches the Rfam family "Eukaryotic large subunit ribosomal RNA", at positions 23 to 645 of the family's 3401-position model. Lineage: Eukaryota; Fungi; Neocallimastigomycota; Neocallimastigomycetes; Neocallimastigales. The record is from RNAcentral.